CCGGGGGGGACGAGGGGUGACGAGGUGGUGCAUGGUUGUCGUCAGCCCGUGUCGUGAGAUGUUGGGUUAAGUCCCGCAACGAGCGCAACCCUCGACCUUAGUUGCCAGCAUUCAGUUGGGCACUCUAAGGUGACUGCCGGCUAAAAAGUCGGAGGAAGGUGGGGAUGACGUCAAAUCAUCAUGCCCCUUAUGACCUGGGCUACACACGUGCUACAAUGGGCGGUACAAAGGGCUGCGAACCCGCGAGGGGGAGCGAAUCCCAAAAAGCCGCUCUCAGUUCGGAUUGCAGGCUGCAACUCGCCUGCAUGAAGCCGGAAUCGCUAGUAAUCGCGGAUCAGCAUGCCGCGGUGAAUACGUUCCCGGGCCUU
Molecule: ribosomal RNA, 368 nt
Filed under: uncultured Geobacillus sp.
Lineage: Bacteria; Bacillati; Bacillota; Bacilli; Caryophanales; Anoxybacillaceae
Description: bacterial SSU rRNA
Rfam family: Bacterial small subunit ribosomal RNA
Source: RNAcentral